RNAcentral lists this non-coding RNA (21 nucleotides) under Caenorhabditis elegans. Lineage: Eukaryota; Metazoa; Nematoda; Chromadorea; Rhabditida; Rhabditidae. The record is from RNAcentral.
UGAUUUUUUGCGCGCACUAAC